RNAcentral lists this unclassified non-coding RNA (238 nucleotides) under Glomeraceae sp. RNAcentral describes it as "partial contains 5.8S ribosomal RNA and internal transcribed spacer 2". The stretch from base 1 to 71 matches the Rfam family "5.8S ribosomal RNA", at positions 84 to 154 of the family's 154-position model. The record is from RNAcentral. Lineage: Eukaryota; Fungi; Glomeromycota; Glomeromycetes; Glomerales; Glomeraceae.
GUGAAUCAUCAAAUUUUUGAACGCAAAUUGCACUCUCUGGUAUUCCGGAGAGCAUGCCUGUUUGAGGGUCAGUUUAAAUAAAAACUGGUGUGGUUGCUGCCUUUCGUGGUGAUGUACCGGUUCUGGGUCGCCUUGCCUUCGGAUAAGUGACUUCACAUCCUGCAUGAUUUUUUUCGAACGCAUUCAAAUGAUUUUACGUACGUUCGCGUUAUUGAAUACUGGGUGUGGUCAUCCUCAU